Molecule: long non-coding RNA, 485 nt
Organism: Papaver somniferum (opium poppy)
Lineage: Eukaryota; Viridiplantae; Streptophyta; Magnoliopsida; Ranunculales; Papaveraceae
Exons: 2
Source: RefSeq, a predicted model, not a curated record
ACUAGCUAAGUUGAAAGAGCGAGUGUGUCUAAAAUAUGGCUACAAAAAUGCAAAGGUUUUCAUUUUCUUGGGUCUAGUUCUUGUCUUCCUUCUGAUGUCUUCCAAGGUUUCAGCUGUUAAGGACUUGGCUGAGAAAAAAAGAGCUUCAAGGAGCCGAAGAAAUGGUUCUCCAAGAUGUUAUCUCAGUCCCUUAGUAUCCCCCUCUAAUGACAGAAAUCCAAAAGUCUAAGGGGAAUUGAUGGUGGUGAUACUAUUGGUGAUUUUUGAUGGUGAUGUUGGACCUUGUUAUACUGUUGAUCCUCAACCGUAGCUAAUAAUAACAUUACAUGUCACCAUAUGUUGGGUUUACUAACAUAAGCCUAGAUUUGUCCACCAAAUGCACAAAAUGCACCUGAGUGCAUAAUGUAUACCCUGACUGGAAAAUAGGUUUUGUCCUAAAUGCACCUGAGUGCAUGACGUAUAUUUUUUUUGAAUUUUUUGUUGUU